AAUAAAAGCAUUAAUUGUAUCAAAUUGCUAUAAAUCUUAGUGAGAUGCUGUCCCUGUCCUCUUGGUACUAUCUAAUAGAGAAAAGACAGAACUGUAUAUAUCUAUCAUCUAUCACAUUAGGAGGGGCCUGGACCACUGGUAUACAUAGGAAGAGGCACAGGGAAUGAAUUCUAGCUCCACGAAGCCCUAAAUCUAACACACUUGCUUUACUGUAUGCAGAUCACUGAGUUACUUCAGGAUAUGGAAAACAUUUUAUGGAUAUUGUCUGCUGAACCAUAUAGGAACUCUGUGAGGGGCAAGUGCAUGCCUAGAGGCACUGUGGGAGUGGGAGAAAUAAGAAGUUUAGUGGAGAGGUGGCAGCUUGCUGAGCAUGCUAAGCAUUCCGGCAUCUUGGCAUGGUGGAAGCUAUUGUCCUGUUUGGUGGUGAGUUUUCCUUGA
Molecule: long non-coding RNA, 438 nt
Filed under: Monodelphis domestica (gray short-tailed opossum)
Lineage: Eukaryota; Metazoa; Chordata; Mammalia; Didelphimorphia; Didelphidae
Description: lncRNA (ENSMODG00000035447.2)
Source: RNAcentral